This is a long non-coding RNA of Melozone crissalis (California towhee), 601 nucleotides long. RefSeq lists it as uncharacterized. Lineage: Eukaryota; Metazoa; Chordata; Aves; Passeriformes; Passerellidae. The record is from RefSeq and is a predicted model, not a curated record. The transcript has 3 exons.
AGUACAAACAUACCCAGUCUAGGCUCAGAAUGAGCUGCAGCAACUGGAUAAAUCUGCUGGGACCAUGAAGAAUUCAAAUGGUUAAUUUGGGUUAAAAGUCUCUCUGCAGGUGGAAUGCCUCCUGUCCCUCAAGUGGCUCAGCAGAUCAUCCAGGAGGAAAACCAGCAGCAAAAUGGACCAAAUUUGUCAAAUCUGCUCAAUUCCUUACACAGCAGGAACCCAGCUCUGCCCCAGCAGGUACAACCAGCAGAAUGGGAUAAGAACCAUGUGCUUGUGCUCCCAGCUCCAGUUCCCUCACAACAACAGGAAAAUGAAAUUCUGCAGCAAACAGCAGCACUGAGGAAAGAAAGUUUAUAACUCUGAAACCUCUGCCCAAACUCCACGAGGCCCCACAGCACAAAUCACACCAUGAUUUUUUUCUUUUGGAGGAAAUGCAGUGGAUGGCAACAGAUUUUUUUCAAGAAAGAAGAUGGAAGAUAACUGCCAAGAGAGUAAUGUGAAUAUGAUAUUUUAAAUAAAUAAUAGGCAGCAUUUACAUGGUUAGGAUGUGAUCACUGAGGACCUGGGAGUUUGAGGUUGCCUCUCCACUUUUGUAAACUUU